CAGCAUAUCAAUAAGCGCAGGAAAAGAAACCAACAGGGAUUGCCUCAGUAACGGCGAGUGAAGCGGCAACAGCUCAAAUUUGAAAUCUGGCCUCUUGGGGUCCGAGUUGUAAUUUGUAGAGGAUGUUUCGGGUACCGCCUCGGUUUAAAUUUCUUGGAACAGAAUGUCAAAGAGGGUGAGAAUCCCGUCUUGGACCGGCGGUAGGGCCUAUGUGAAACUCCUUCGACGAGUCGAGUUGUUUGGGAAUGCAGCUCAAAAUGGGUGGUAAAUUUCAUCUAAAGCUAAAUAUUGGCCAGAGACCGAUAGCGCACAAGUAGAGUGAUCGAAAGAUGAAAAGCACUUUGAAAAGAGAGUUAAACAGUAUGUGAAAUUGUUGAAAGGGAAGCGCUUGCAACCAGACUUGAGCGCGGCGGUUCCCCCUUGCUUCUGCUUGGGUUACUCCGCCGUGUCCAGGCCAACAUCGGUUCUGGGGGUCGGUCAAAGGCUCUGGGAAUGUAUCUACCCACGGGUAGACUUAUAGACCAGGGUGUCAUGCGACCUCCCGGGACCGAGGAACGCGCUUCGGCUCGGAUGUUGGCGUAAUGGUUGUCAGCGACCCGUCUUGAAACACGGACCAAGGAGUCUAACAUCUAUGCGAGUGUUUGGGUGUCAAACCCGGAACGCGGAAUGAAAGUGAACGGAGGUAGGAAGCUUCGGCUGCACUAUCGACCGAUCCUGAAGUUUACGGAUGGAUUUGAGUAAGAGCAUAGCUGUUGGGACCCGAAAGAUGGUGAACUAUGCCUGAAUAGGGUGAAGCCAGAGGAAACUCUGGUGGAGGCUCGCAGCGGUUCUGACGUGCAAAUCGAUCGUCAAAUUUGGGUAUAGGGGCGAAAGACUAAUCGAACCAUCUGGUAGCUGGUUCCUGC
Molecule: ribosomal RNA, 905 nt
Filed under: Fonsecaea pedrosoi
Lineage: Eukaryota; Fungi; Ascomycota; Eurotiomycetes; Chaetothyriales; Herpotrichiellaceae
Description: LSU rRNA
Rfam family: Eukaryotic large subunit ribosomal RNA
Source: RNAcentral